AACGAACGCUGGCGGCAGGCCUAACACAUGCAAGUCGAGCGCGCCCUUCGGGGUGAGCUGCGGACGUGUGGGUAACGCGUGGGAACGUGCCCUUCUCUCCGGAAUAGCCUCGGGAAACUGCGUGUAAUACCGCCUACGCCCCUGGGUGGAAAGAUUUAUCGGAGAAGGGUCGGCCCGCGUUGGAUUAGGAAGUUGGUGGGGUAAUGGCCCACCAAGCCGACGAUCCAUAGCUGGUUUGAGAGGAUGAUCAGCCACACUGGGACUGAGACACGGCCCAGACUCCUACGGGAGGCAGCAGUGGGGAAUCUUAGACAAUGGGGGCAACCCUGAUCUAGCCAUGCCGCGUGAGUGAUGAAGGCCUUAGGGUUGUAAAGCUCUUUCAGCUGGGAAGAUAAUGACGGUACCAGCAGAAGAAGCCCCGGCUAACUCCGUG
This 433-nucleotide ribosomal RNA is filed under the name uncultured bacterium. RNAcentral's name for it is "partial 16S ribosomal RNA". It matches the Rfam family "Bacterial small subunit ribosomal RNA", at positions 29 to 507 of the family's 1533-position model. The record is from RNAcentral.